This is an RNA transcript of Panicum virgatum (switchgrass), 1751 nucleotides long. RefSeq lists it as uncharacterized. The transcript is spliced from 7 exons. The record is from RefSeq and is a predicted model, not a curated record. NCBI's taxonomy places the organism in Eukaryota, Viridiplantae, Streptophyta, Magnoliopsida, Poales, Poaceae.
CCUUCGGCCUUCGCCCCGGGCUCCGGCGAAUGUCGCUCCCUCUCGCUCCUCCCUUCCCAGGCGCGCGCUUCACGCCGUCGCAGGCGGCGGCGCCUCGCCGCCGCGCCGGGGCCCGCCCCUUCUCCCCGUCCGCGGACGCGCGGUCCCCGCGCUUCAGGAGGCCCUACACGUCCGUCCUGAUUGUCCCCACGGGCGUCGGCGCGGCCGUCGGGGGCUUCGCCGGCGACGCCCUCCCGGUGGCUAGAACCCUCGCCGCCGUCUCCGACUGCGUCAUCUCACACCCCAACGUGCUGAACGCUGCAAUGUUGUACUGGCCAAUGCCCAACACGCUUUACGUGGAGGGAUACGCCCUUGAUAGGUUCGCGGAAGGAUCUUGGGCUCUCCAACCCGUUCACCAAAACAAGGCUUGGUGUUGGAUUCUGGAAUCGAGGAGGACCUCCGGCUACGCCACUUGCAUGUUGCCGAUGCCGCAAGGGCGUCUCUUGGGCUGCCUGUAGUCGAGUACAUUGUCACAGAUGCUCCUCUGGAGAUCAAGACAUGGUUUGAUCCUAAGUGUGGGAAGUCGACAGGAAGUGUUGGGAACUCUGAUUCUCUGCUGAGAGCUGUUGACACACUAGUGAAUCAUUCAGAUGUGAAUGCGGUGGCAGUGGUUGCAUGCUUUCCAGAUGAUGAUCCAGAAGAUUCAGAUUGUUACAGGGAAGGGAAGGGCGUUGAUCUGUUGGCAGGGGUUGAAGCAAUUAUCAGUCAUCUAAUUGUGAAAGAAUUCAAAAUCCCUGCUGCCCACGCUCCUGCAGUGUUACCCCCACCACUCAGCCCAUUGGUAUCCCCUAGAUCUGCUGCUGAAGAGAUUGGAUAUACCUUUCUGCCUUGUGUGCUUGCUGGGUUAAGCAACGCUCCACAGUAUGUCAUGAGGAGGCAAGGAAUCUUGGGCAGUAAUUGCAUUGUGGCUGGUGAUGUUGACAGUGUUAUUCUUCCAAAAGACUCUUGUGGAGGAGAGGGUACCCUAGCCUUUGCUCGAGCUUCAAGAAAGCAUAAGCCCUUAAUCAUAACCGUACAGGAAAAUGAGACAGUGCUUGAUGAUACCCCAGACAAGUUUGGCAUAGAGGCGGUAUGCAACCUAUAUAUGUCUUUCGUCACCCUCCAAAUUCUGUCUCUUUCUCAUAAGCUCAUAUAUCUAAGCAUUUGUUAGCAACUUUGAGUGUUUUCUCCUCAGCUGAAUGUUCAGAACUACUGGGAAGCAAUUGGAGUUGUCGCUGCUCACAAGGCAGGUGUCGACCCAAACGCUCUUAGAAGACAAGGAAUUGAUCACCUUAAGAGCUCUCCGCGAUUAUACUCUGCUUACUCUUCGGGUCCUAGGCCAUCUGCCCGUCCUCCGGUGCACGAGAAGUUUGCUAUCAGGAGUAGACUAGCUAAACAAAUUUAAUAGUAGAAAUAACACUACUAGUAGAAGUAGAAAUCAAUUUAGACAGGUUGCUAUCAGGAGCUUUCCAGAUUUUGAAGUCGCAGGUACAUAUUCCACAGAGACCGUGCUGCAGUGGAAUCCUAGUCAUAGCAUCUACACCGAUUUUUGUUGCCACCCAGUCUAGCAUUAGCUGGUGGCAUGCAUGAAUCUUCCUCAUGGCCUUGUAUUUCUCGAACUUCCAAUCUCCAGUCGGUUUGCCAAUCAUUUACAUCAUCAUUUGUUGCAGGAAAACCCAGUGGUUGUAAUCAAUUUUUUCCUACAUUAUUUUAGUAGCGCUGUGUUUAGAUCA